GCCGGGAGAGGCGAAACAGGUAGACGCAAGGGACUUAAAAUCCCUCGGCUUCGGCCAUACGGGUUCGACUCCCGUCGUCCGCA
Molecule: transfer RNA, 83 nt
Filed under: Methylocapsa sp.
Lineage: Bacteria; Pseudomonadati; Pseudomonadota; Alphaproteobacteria; Hyphomicrobiales; Beijerinckiaceae
Description: tRNA-Leu
Rfam family: tRNA
About the family: Transfer RNA (tRNA) molecules are approximately 80 nucleotides in length. Their secondary structure includes four short double-helical elements and three loops (D, anti-codon, and T loops).
Source: RNAcentral